CAAUAGCGUAUAUUAAAGCUGUUGCGGUUAAAAAGCUCGUAGUUGGAUUUCUGUCAAGGACAACUGGUCCGCCCUCCGGGUGAGCACAUAGUUUGGUCUUGGCAUCUUGCUGGAAACUGUUGCUGCGCUUGGUUGUGUGGUGCAGCUUUCAGCACUUUCACUUUGAGGAAAUUGGAGUGUUUCAAGCAGGCACAUGCCUUUGGACACAGUAGCAUGGAAUAAUUAGAUUGGGCUUUUGCUCCAACUUGUUGGUUCCUGGAGCUGAGGUGAGAAUCAAUGGGGAUUGUUGGGGGCAUCCGAAUUUAGCCGUCAGAGGUGAAAUUCUUGGAUCUGCUAAAGACGGACAACUGCGAAANGGNNNGCCCAGGAUGUUUUCAUNGA
RNAcentral lists this ribosomal RNA (381 nucleotides) under uncultured eukaryote. RNAcentral's name for it is "partial 18S ribosomal RNA". It matches the Rfam family "Eukaryotic small subunit ribosomal RNA", at positions 592 to 976 of the family's 1831-position model. The record is from RNAcentral.